This is a long non-coding RNA of Carassius auratus (goldfish), 2266 nucleotides long. The record is from Ensembl. Lineage: Eukaryota; Metazoa; Chordata; Actinopteri; Cypriniformes; Cyprinidae.
AUGUUUUUGAUUCAACAGCUUCCACUGGAAAUCCUCAGGGAAGUUAUUUUGUCGGCGGGUGACUCUGCAUAUUUGACACUUUCUCUGGUUUGCAGAUGGUUUAGGGUUGUGCUCCGAAGUUUUUCGGAAAGCGGCACAGUUUGCCUGGCUAGAGAUUGUGGCCAACUGGAAGAAUUGUCCUCCUGUCUCCUGACCGGAACGAGUUCAGAUGGAUGUACAGCAUCGCUUGCAGUGCAGAGCCCUUUUCAAGUUUAACCCACCAGGGUACAGGGAAGAGACCGGCGUGGUGAUCUUCUGGGCUUUUGUUUACAUAGGAUUUUGUUCCAAGGACUGUUUGUUUGUUUUUUUGUUUUUUUUGCGGCAUGAAACACAUUUGUGUGUUAAGUUCAUUGAAGGGAAAUAGAGAAUGGGCUGAGAUCAACUGGUUUUGAUUAUUAAUUGAUGUAAUUUAAAGUUAAACUUUGCACUGUAUAAUGUUUUAAUAAAAAAGCUAUGGAAAACACGUGCAUGACAACAGGUUUCAGUCAUUUACAUCAGUCUAUCAUUCUUUAAGGUUUCUCAUAUUUGAUGAUAACAUGAUUUGCUAUGCAUUGCUCAUAAUGGAUUCUUAGUUUAGUUGUGACAGGAUUGUGAGGAUUAAUGAGGUUUUCAGUAGUGCAGUUCAGAAAACAAAUAACAGAAAGUAACAAGUGUUUUUGGGCAAGUUCUUUAGAACCUGUAUAGUUCCUUCCUUGCAAAAAGUAACCAUGGAUUUAUUGUAGUAAAAAUAUUUGUUGGCACAUUAAUUACUGUGAGCUGUAAUUAUAAAAACACCAUAGUUUUACUAUAGUUACUGUAGCAGAACCAUGGUAAAUUUUCGUAGGGGCCAAGGGAAUGUUCAGAAUAUUAUUGGUGACGUUCAGAGACUGGUGACAAUUUGUUACACACACACACACACACAUAUAUAUAUAUAUAUAUAUAUAUAUACACACACACACACACACACAUAUAUGUAUAUAUAUAUAAUUUGAAUAUAUAAAUCAAGGUACUCCAUGACUAUCUACGUAACCAUACUUCGCAUAAUAUUGCCGUGUCAUUUUCAAACCAGCGAGUAAUGCCGAGGUAGCGUCUACACUACAGCCAUUGAGGGAGUAGACCAUUUAUUUUUAUUCUGUUCGUCGUAAUCCAAAACUCUUUGUAUUUAUACGGGAUGUUGUGGAAAUGCAACAAUAAAUGCAAAAACACAACAUGUAUAUUCACUUUUUAAUUUAUAUUAAAAGUUUAUUCAUCUUAGUGUCUACUUCCGCAUUCCAAUCCUGCUAAUAGCGUCAUAAUUCUCUAUACCAAUAAGCUGUAAAAUCGUCACUCAUCUGUACACCAAUAAGCUCAUCUUAAUCAUAAACCAAUAACCGCUGAGGUGGGCGGGGCGACACGUGUCGCUCCGCCCCAACGUGUCGCCCCGCCCCAUCGUCCAGACUGCACUCUGGGAUACUUGAUUCUUCUCACAGAUGGAUUUUAAUUGAUACACAAUGGAGCGCGUUACAAAUGACAGGUGUUCCUCGGUAAUAAUUAAAGUCGCACAAAAACAGUCCCAACGGGGUGGAGCCCGCUUGCAGCUACACUGAAGGAUAUGCUUAUGUGCUCCACAUUACAGCAGGUAAUUUUAACUAACAUUGUUUCCUCAGAGGGCUUUAGUUUUAAUAAUGCACUUUAAAUGUAGCUAUUUUUACCUUUCGCCCAUUUUGUUUUAAUAAUGCACUUUAAAGGUAGCUAUUUUUACUUUUUGCCCAUCAGCCACAAUUGCUGGCGAGUGCCCAAAUAAGGAUUCACAGAUAUGGUCUUUUCAUAUAGGCUUCUAUAAAUAACCCUAAUGGCACUGAACGCGGAGCAACAAAUCAUGUGUUGUUCUUUUGCGCGUUUUAACAAUUUUAAAUGAACUGAACUAAAUGUAAUCCUCGUGAGGACGAAGGCAUUCCCGUAGCCUUAAAUCGGCUUCAGGAAUCUGUGUAGGCCUAUUUGUGCUCCUACCAAUCUUAUUAUCUUUUCCCCAACAUUUCAAAGUAAGAUUCCUGCUGUUAACAUGAACUACAUUAGUAAACAUGAAACAACAAUGAAAAAUACUUCCAAAGUAUUUAGUUAUCAUAGUAUUAAUUUCAACAUUUACUAAUAUAUUAUUAAAAUCAAAAUCUGUAUCUGUUCAUUUCAUUUAAUGGACAUAAACUUAACUAACAACUAACAGCUGUACUUUCAGAACAAUGUAACAAGUGAUAUUUCAAGUUUCUCUGAU